GCGGGGAGCGGGCGCUCGGGUUGUGGUGGCCGGAGGGGCCUGGGCCGCGAGGUCGACGCCUGUGGUUCCGGCGGUCGAGGCCAAAGGACCCACCGCGGCUUGGUCGCCGGAGAGGGAGGGGUGCGCUGCCGCCGCCGCCCGGCCGGUGCCCGGGAAAAUCAGCCCAGAGAAUUGAUGGGAUUUGCCCCAGGUCUCCCACCCGGCAAGCCAGCCCUAAGGACCCGGGUACUGGCGCAUGGGGACGGUGGCUCUCCCUCUCGUGUGUAAAGGACGGAGCCCCUGGACUGCCAGGUUCCCUACCCGGGAGGAGGAGGAAGAGGAGAAAUCCGUCUGCUGGGGCCUGAGCGUGGCCUGGGAGACCGACCAUCGUCCCAGGAUGCCCCUGCCUGAGCCCAGCGAGCAGGAGGGUGAGAGUGUGAAGGCUGGCCAGGAGCCGUCCCCGGAGUCCCCUGAGCCAGGGACCGAUGUCGUCCCCGCCGCCCCCACGAAGCCCAAAGAGUUCUCCAAACUGGUCCUGCUGGCAGCCUCCACAGAGAAUGUGGACGAGGUGGACUCCCAGCCCAAAGGAGGGCACUGUGUCAUGUCCCUGGAGUUGUCUCGCCCUGACACACUAGCCAGGACCCCCCAGAUCCUGCCAGUGGAGGAGCAAGCGGGCACAGUCCAGCCAACCCCCCAGGUCCUUGAGCAUAAACGCAGCAAGCCAGACACAGCAGCCCUCACGCCCCUGGAGUUCCUGAGGACCCCUUUCGGGGGCCGCCUCCUGGUGCUCGAGUGCUUCCUGUACAAGCAGGAGAAGGCCGUGGGGGACAAGGUGUACUGGAAGUGCCGCGAGCACUCUGAGCUGGGCUGCCGGGGCCGGGCCAUCACCCGGGGCCCGCGGGCCACAGUGAUGCGCGGCCACUGCCACCCGCCUGAUGAGGAGGGCCUGGAGGCCCGGCGCCAGAGACAGAAGCUGCCCAGCCCAGCCCUGCCUGAAGGCCCGGGGGGUCCGGAGGGCCCUGGAGGCCAAGUCGAGGAGCCACUGGAAGGGGUGGGCCCGUGGCUGUGCCCUGAGGAGCCGGAGCCCGCCCCUGGCUUGGUGCUGAGCAAGCCGGCCACAGAGGAGGAUGAGGGCCUACGAGCCCUGUCGCUGCUGAGCUUGCCCCCCAAGAAACGGCCGACGCUGGGGACCGGAGAACCCCGGCCCCUGGAGUUCCUGAGAACUUGCUACGGGGGCCAGUUCCUGGUGCACCAGUGCUUCCUGUACAAGCGAGAGAAGGCCGUGGGCGACAAGGUGUACUGGACGUGCCGGGACCACGCUCUGCACGGCUGCCGCAGCCGGGCCAUCACCCAGGGCCAGCGGGUGACUGUGAUGCGCGGCCACUGCCACCCGCCGGACGUGGAGGGCCUGGAGGCCCGGCGGCAGCAGGAGAAGGCCAUGGAGACGCUGCAGGCCCGGCCGGGCGGGCCCGGGGGCCAAGUGGACGAGCUGCUGUCCCGCAGCGGGCCCGGGCCCCUGACUCUCAGCAGAGCCCGGCCUAGAAAGCGCGCAAAGGUCCUUCCGGCCCAGCCCCCGGCCCUGCAGGGCGCCUCCGCCGGGGACCAGGAGGAUGACCUGGGAGGCCCCGAGUUCCUGAGGACCCCUCUGGGGGGCAGCUUCCUGGUGUACGAGUCCUUCCUGUACAGGCGGGAGAAGGCGGCCGGGGAGAAGGUGUACUGGACGUGCCGGGACCAGGCCCGCAUGGGCUGCCGCAGCCGCGCCAUCACCCAGGGCCGGCGGGUGACUGUGAUGCGCGGCCACUGCCACCCUCCUGACCUUGGGGGCCUGGAGGCCCUGAGGCAGCGGGAGAAGCGCCCUGGUGCGGCCCAGCGGGGGAGCCCAGGAGGCCCCGAGUUCCUGAGGACCCCUCUGGGGGGCAGCUUCUUGGUGUACGAGUCCUUCCUGUACAGGCGGGAGAAGGCGGCCGGGGAGAAGGUGUACUGGACGUGCCGGGACCAGGCCCGCAUGGGCUGCCGCAGCCGCGCCAUCACCCAGGGCCAGCGGGUGAUGGUGAUGCGCAGACACUGUCACCCGCCCGACCUGGGGGGCCUGGAGGCCCUGAGGCAGCGGGAGCAGAUCCCCAGCCCAGCCCAGAGGGAAGGCUCAGGAACGCUGCAGCCUCUGGAGUUCCUGCGGACUUCGCUCGGGGGCCGGUUCCUGGUGUACGAGUCCUUCCUCUACCGGAAGGAGAAGGCGGCCGGGGACAAGGUGUACUGGAUGUGCCGGGACCAGGCCCGGCUGGGCUGCCGCAGCCGCGCCAUCACCCAGGGCCAGCUGGUGACGGUGAUGCGUAGCCACUGCCACCUGCCUGACCUGGCGGGCCUGGAGGCCCUGAGGCAGCGGGAGCGGCGCCCCGGCGCGGCCCAGCAGGAGGACCCAGGUGGAGACAGGGCUGGGGGUCAGAGGUGGGAGUACCAACGAGCCGUGGGCAUCUCGUGGCUGCCAGCCCAAGGUUCAGACACCUCAGGGCAUUGGCGCCAUCUGGACCUUCGCGCCCUGGCCUUUCUACCUUUCCAGAAUCUUCUACCUCUCCUGUCCACUGGCUCCUUCUCCUGAGCCUGAAAACACCCCCAGAUCUGUCCCAUCCUCAAGAACAACUCCCCUUCUCAUUCAUUCUGUCUCCUUUCUUUUAUUCUAAGAGGUCUUCACUUGUUACAGGGCAGUGUUUUGUGAAAAUCUGAUGAAAAAAUAGAAAGCACUCCAGAAGAAUGUACUAAUGUCUGUGUGCACGCGCACACACAUGCACGUGUGCGCACACACGUUCGUAAGGCUUGCCGAUAAUUAAUUUUAUUGAACUGAAAAUGGGUCCCCUUCACAUAAACAGAAUAUAAAACCAGUCUGUAAGAGGCAUUUUUGUGUUUUAUGUUAAUUCACGUAACUAAUAAGGACCACAGGAAGCCUCGGGGGCCCAGUCAGUUAAGCGUCCGGCUCUUGAUUUUGGCUCAGGUCGUGAUCUCAAGUUGGUGGGAUUGGGCCCCAAGUCGGGUUUGGGCUCUGCGAUGACUGCACGGAGCCUGCUUGGGACCCUCUGUCUUUCUCUCUCCCUCCCUCUCUCUCUCUCUCUCUCUGCGCCCCUCCCCCACUCGCACCCGCUUGCUCUCUCCCUCUCGAAAUAAAUAAACUUAAAAAAAUGAUAAGGGCCACAUUUUAUCAAAUACAAAAAUGAUUCCAGGUUGUAUAAAACAGCCCAAAGAAAUUUGAUUUCUGUUCAAAGACAAAACAAAAACGGAAGGAGACUUCUGAGAGAAAGCCGCCAGUUGGCAACAAGAAGUAGGAUUCGUGGCGCCGCAGAGGGCACCUCUCUUUGUUUUGCACCAUUUUAUUUGUUUCUUUAUUUUGAGAGAGAGCGCGAGCCCGUGUGGGCAGGGGAGGGGCAGAGAGAGAGAGGGAAGGAGGGGAGCCCACGCAGGCUGCACGCGGUUGGCGCAGGGCCCGAUGCAGGGCUCAGAGGCACGAACCCUGAGACCCUGACCGGGGCCGAAACCAAGAGUCGGCCGCUCGACCGCCUGAGCCCCCCGGGCGGAGGGCCCCUCGCUUUUGACGCCUGGUUCAGUCCCGAUCUGCUCGAUGGAGGGGCUGCCCGCUGACCCUCAGGAUCCCGACCGGCUCCCUUCACCAGGCGCGGGAGUUUGGGGCGUCAGGAAACCAGAAUUCCCCGCGACGGCCCAAAUCAGGGUCUCUCCUCCCGGAUUCCUUUAUCCUCGAGGCCUCGAGGUCAUCAACGCAAAGUGCGCGCCUCGGUCUCUCGCCGCCUCAAGGAGAGAAGAAUUACUAACCCGUGUUUUCCAUUCUCUUCCCUCAGAAAACACGAAACUUCCGCCAGAAGUGCAGCUGCGUGUCCAGAGCGUCCCUCCGGAAACCCAGCAGGAAGGUGAACUGUGCGAAACCGCCCAGUGAGGAGCAGCGUGGCCCAUCCCCUCCCGACGGGAGCACAGGGACCUCGUGCUGCCAGCGUCACGGAUGCUCCGAGCCCACCCAGGACCCUGGCGUUUCCCACCCGGUUAGAUUUUGCUUCACAAAGACUCUCUUCCACUCCUCCACAGCACGGUGGCCUUCUCACUCCUUCAAGGGGCCUCCCAAGAGGAAAACUGACGGUGUCUUCGAGCGGGCACACGGGAGCUGGCGGCCCGCACACAUGGGUGACUCGGGGAGAGGCCCCCCCCCGCCCACGGAAGACCUGAAGAAGCAUCUUGUCACGGAGACACCUCUCCCCCGCUCCGCCGCCCCGAGCCGCGAACACCCGUCCACUUUCAGAGCACAUGACUUUGCCAAGGCCUUUCCAGUCGGGUGCGGCCCUGCUUGGCCAGGGCGCGUUUGGAGAAGUUCCUGCUGCUUCGGGCUCAGCUGUCCCGCGUAGCUCCGGCCUCCCCGGGUGUUCUCUGGGCAGGGGCCACGUGGGCCUUUGCGCCCCUCGGCCACCUGCCACUGGGCCGCAGCCCCCCCCCCCCGCCUGGUAACAGCAGCCCCACCGCACUCCCCCCGCACGCGCCGUCGACUUUCUCUCCCUCGCUGUCUUCCCAGGGUCCGUGAUCCCCGUGGCGGGCGUCCCUGCCGGCGGUGGGAGCCAGCCCGGAUGUCCACGGGAAGGCGGCCCCGGACAGCCACGACCGGGCCCGUGGUGUGUGGGCUGCCCACGUCCGUGUGAUGCAGGAGACGCAGACUCGAAUGGCAACGGAGGCCCACCCCUUCUGUCCGCCGGUGCAGGAGAGCUGUCCUGGCAGGUCCGAGAAGCAGGCGGCGGCGGCCGGGAGCCCCCGAGACACCUGCCGGGCCGUCCGGACAGCGAGGUUCCUUGUCUCCACGCUGUGACUGCAGAGCGAGCACGGGGCCACAGACUCCCUCUCUCCCGCCAAGCCGGCCGUGCAGCCUGCUGUCCGGCUACAGGACAGCGACAGCUUGGGACCCCACUGUCCCUCUGCUUACAGAUUUCCCGCCAAUAAACCCUAUUUUAUAUCUCA
RNA transcript from Neofelis nebulosa (Clouded leopard), 4977 nucleotides. It is a transcript of the gene named FLYWCH-type zinc finger 1, with no coding region annotated. Lineage: Eukaryota; Metazoa; Chordata; Mammalia; Carnivora; Felidae. The record is from RefSeq and is a predicted model, not a curated record. The transcript has 9 exons.